UACAGUUGAAGAAAAUGGUUACACAUGUCAUGAGACUCAAAAUCAAAACAGCAACAGUACUACGAUCCUCACUCACACCCGAAGCCAUGUCAAAUCGAUUCUUUCCCAAUCCCAUGCCAGAAUUCAUACCCGAAUCAACACCUUCAACCCAACAGGAACUCCAAGAAGCAGUCACCGUCACAACGGGCGGUGACUCACUCCUCAACCUCCUCGCCAUGCCUCAUGCUCCACUCUCCCAGCGUCUCAAACGCGCUGCAUUAGACCUCAAAGAAACUAUAGUGAUGGAAACAUGGGGUUUAACUGGACAACGUGUUGGUGACUUCACUCUAUAUUGUGGUCUUCUUGGCACUGCUUUUCUACUUUUGAAGUCUUACCAUGUCACUUGCAAUACCAAUGAUCUAGCACUUUGCUCUCAGAUUGUCAAGUCUUGUGAUGCUGCUUCUCUUUCUUCUAGGGAUGUCACUUUUAUUUGCGGACGUGCUGGUGUUUGUGCUCUUGGUGCUGUGGCUGCAAAACAUGCUGGUGAUGAUGAAUCCUUGAGAUACUACCUGGCUCAGUUCCAACAGAUUAAGCUACCGAAGGAUCUUCCUGAUGAGUUGUUAUACGGGAAAGGUGGUUUUCUAUGGGCAUGUUUGUUCUUAAACAAGCACCUUGGUCAGGGAACAGUUCCUUCCAGUUAUACUGCCACGGUAGUGGAUGAGAUUAUAAAGAAUGGUAGGGCAUUGGGUCAAAAGAGAAAAUGUCCUUUGAUGUUUGAGUGGUACGGAGAGAAGUAUUGGGGUGCUGCACAUGGUUUGGCUGGAAUUAUGAAUGUUCUUAUGGAUAUGGAAUUGAAGCCUGAUGAGCUUGAGGAUGUUAGGGGUACUCUUAAAUACAUGAUACAUAACCGCUUUCCUAGUGGAAACUAUCCUGCGAGUGAUAAAGAUAAGAAGAGCGAUGUUCUUGUGCACUGGUGCCAUGGAGCUCCUGGAAUGGCUCUUACACUUGUCAAAGCAGCUAAGGUUUUUGGAGAUAAAGAAUUCUUGGAUGCAGCUAUGGAAGCAGGAGAGGUGGUUUGGAGUCGCGGAUUGCUCAAGCGAGUGGGGAUUUGCCAUGGUAUUAGUGGGAAUGCAUACGUCUUCCUGUCACUUUACCAACUUACCGGGAACACGAAGUAUUUAUACAGAGCCAAAGCUUUUGCAUGCUUCUUACUUGAUGGAGCUCAUAAUCUGAUAUCUGGAGGUGAAAUGCAUGGAGGUGAUAGUCCCCAUUCACUGUUUGAAGGAGUAGGAGGCAUGGCUUAUCUCUUUUUGGACAUGGUUAAUCCUUCACAGUCUAAAUUCCCUGCUUAUGAACUAUGAGAAUAUACAAGUUUUGGAAGUUAUGUCUGUUACAUAACCAAUGUAAUUUGACUACAAUGUAAGGCUGUCAAUAAUGUCUAGGGAUUUUGAUUGCUUCAAAGACUUGAAAAAGGAAGUAGAUGUUUGGAAAAUUGGGUUUAGAGUUCUUGACUCAUGGAUUGUCACUGCCAGUAAUGGUAACCAACAUAUGGAGCUCAUCAUUGGAGAUGCCAAGUUUCAAAUGCAAAAAAUUAUUAAGAUUGUUGAUAUGAUGAAAGCAGAAAGGCUAUUUGAGUCUCAGGGUGGUCCAAUAAUUAUGUCUCAGAUUGAAAAUGAAUGUGGACCAACGGAGUAUGAAAUUGGUGUAAGCAGGUAUGGCUAUAGGACUCGGUACCGGAGUUCCGUGGAUCAUGUGCAAGCAAGAUGAUGCUCCUGAUUGUAAGCUAGAUAUAAUAUAAGCCAGACUAUACAUUACUUUUUUUCCUCUUUUAUGUUUGCAGGUUUACGGAGUUUGGAGGUCCAGUUCCUCACCGACCUGCUGAAGACAUGGCAUUUUCAGUUGCAAGAUUUAUACAGAAAGGAGGGUCAUUGCACUAUAAUAACCAAACAAAUUUAAAAUUAUAAAUCAGUUUUUUUACAGUCUAAUCUAAAUGUACCUGAAAACACUACUGGUUCUGGUGAAAAGGAUUGGGUUAAAGGUUCCAUUUUUCUCAUAAUUGCUACUUUUGCUUGGGCUUCUUCUUCAUCCUUCAGGUUGUGACAUUGAGGAAAUACUCAGCUCAACUCUCACUCACAGCCAUAAUAUUUUCCUUGGGCACACUUCAAUCAAUUGAUGUGACUUUUGUUAUGGAGCAUAACCCAAAUGCUUGGUGCAUUGGUUGGGACAUGAACUUAUUAGCUGCAGCCUAUGUUGGUAUAAUAUCAUCAGGUCUUACCUACUAUGUUCAAGGGAUAGUCAUGGAAAAGAAAGGACCAGUUUUUGUCAGAAUGACUAUGAUUUUUUCAAAUUAUUACCAAUGUCUAUGAAACAAGACAUGUUAAGUAGUUGGAAAUGGCAAUGAUGUAAAACUUAGCCAUCUGUACAUGUUUGUCAAGACAAGGGGUGAAAGAGUUCUUGACAGAGAUUAAUGUGAUCUCUUAAGUAGAGCAUGAAAAUUUGGUUAAGUUGUAUGGUUGUUGUGUUGAAAGAAAUAGCAGGAUAUUAGUCUACAAUUACCUUGAGAAUAAUAGCCUUUAACAAACUCUUCUAGGUAAAUGAAUUUUUUCAAAUUCAUGGAUGCUACCGGAUUGUCAUCCGAGCCAUUCCUUUCAAGACAAGGACCUGAGGCUCUUAUCUGUGUUUGUUGGUAAUCAUCUUGUGUUUUGUUUCAUCUUUCAUUAAGGAACGUUCUUCUGAAUCUUUUUAUGUUAAUCCAUGAUUUGGGUGUAAAUUGUUUCCUUCAUUUGGUCACUUAGAAGAAUGUGGAUUAUUCUUUUCUACUA
Molecule: RNA transcript, 2801 nt
Organism: Medicago truncatula (barrel medic)
Lineage: Eukaryota; Viridiplantae; Streptophyta; Magnoliopsida; Fabales; Fabaceae
Gene name: lanC-like protein GCL2
Exons: 11
Source: RefSeq, a predicted model, not a curated record